GACGAACGCGGCGGCGUGCUUAACACAUGCAAGUCGAACGAAGAGAGAUGGAAGCUUGCUUCUAUGGAUCUUAGUGGCGAACGGGUGAGUAACGCGUAAUCAACCUGCCCUUCAGAGGGGGACAACAGUUGGAAACGACUGCUAAUACCGCAUACGAUCCAAUCUGGCAUCGAGAGUGGAUGAAAGGUGGCCUCAAUUUAUAAGCUAUCACUGAAGGAGGGGAUUGCGUCUGAUUAGCUAGUUGGAGGGGUAACGGCCCACCAAGGCGAUGAUCAGUAGCCGGUCUGAGAGGAUGAACGGCCACAUUGGGACUGAGACACGGCCCAGACUCCUACGGGAGGCAGCAGUGGGGAAUCUUCCGCAAUGGACGAAAGUCUGACGGAGCAACGCCGCGUGAGUGAUGACGGCCUUCGGGUUGUAAAGCUCUGUUAAUCGGGACGAAUGGUUCUUGUGCAAAUAGUGCGAGGA
This 468-nucleotide ribosomal RNA is filed under the name Veillonella atypica. Its description in RNAcentral is "bacterial SSU rRNA". It matches the Rfam family "Bacterial small subunit ribosomal RNA", at positions 28 to 475 of the family's 1533-position model. Lineage: Bacteria; Bacillati; Bacillota; Negativicutes; Veillonellales; Veillonellaceae. The record is from RNAcentral.